RNAcentral lists this non-coding RNA (45 nucleotides) under Trichobilharzia regenti. Lineage: Eukaryota; Metazoa; Platyhelminthes; Trematoda; Strigeidida; Schistosomatidae. The record is from RNAcentral.
AUCCAGGUGGCGAGUACCAAACAGGACGAAAUGCGCAUCCUGGAU